Molecule: ribosomal RNA, 450 nt
Filed under: uncultured bacterium
Lineage: Bacteria
Description: bacterial SSU rRNA
Rfam family: Bacterial small subunit ribosomal RNA
Source: RNAcentral
AAUCAACGCUGGCGGCGUGCCUAACACAUGCAAGUCGAACGAGAAAGUGGAGCAAUCCACAAGUAAAGUGGCGCACGGGUGAGUAACACGUGACUAACCUACCCUUGAGUGGGGGAUAACCUAGGGAAACCUGGGCUAAUACCGCAUAAUACCUAUGGGUCAAAGGAGCAAUUCGCUUUUGGAGGGGGUCGCGGCAGAUUAGUUAGUUGGCAGGGUAAUGGCCUACCAAGACGAUGANCUGUAUCCGGCCUGAGAGGGCGCACGGACACACUGGAACUGAAACACGGUCCAGACUCCUACGGGAGGCAGCAGUGGGGAAUUUUGCGCAAUGGGGGAAACCCUGACGCAGCAACGCCGCGUGGAGGAUGAAGACCCUUGGGUCGUAAACUCCUUUCGAUCGGGACGAUAAUGACGGUACCGGAAGAAGAAGCCCCGGCUAACUUCGUGCCA